GUGAGGAAUUUUCCGCAAUGGGCGAAAGCCUGACGGAGCAAUGCCGCGUGAAGGAUGAAGGCCUAUGGGUUGUAAACUUCUUUUCUCAGAAAAGAAUUAUGACGGUAUCUGAGGAAUAAGCAUCGGCUAACUCUGUGCCAGCAGCCGCGGUAAGACAGAGGAUGCAAGCGUUAUCCGGAAUGAUUGGGCGUAAAGCGUCUGUAGGUUGUUUAAAAAGUAUUCUGUCAAAGAUUAGGGCUUAACCCUAGAUAGGCAGAAUAAACUUUUAAGCUAGAGGUUGGUAGAGGCAGAGGGAAUUCCCGGUGGAGCGGUGAAAUGCGUAGAUAUCGGGAGGAACACCAAAGGCGAAGGCACUCUGCUGGGCCAAUACUAACACUGAGAGACGAAAGCGAGGGGAGCAAAUGGGAUUAGAACCCUAGUAGUCC
This 425-nucleotide ribosomal RNA is filed under the name uncultured bacterium. RNAcentral describes it as "partial 16S ribosomal RNA". It matches the Rfam family "Bacterial small subunit ribosomal RNA", at positions 354 to 796 of the family's 1533-position model. The record is from RNAcentral.